This 75-nucleotide transfer RNA is filed under the name Govanella unica. RNAcentral's name for it is "tRNA-Gln". It matches the Rfam family "tRNA". From Rfam's summary of the family: Transfer RNA (tRNA) molecules are approximately 80 nucleotides in length. Their secondary structure includes four short double-helical elements and three loops (D, anti-codon, and T loops). Lineage: Bacteria; Pseudomonadati; Pseudomonadota; Alphaproteobacteria; Emcibacterales; Govanellaceae. The record is from RNAcentral.
UGGGGCGUAGCCAAGUGGUAAGGCAGCGGAUUUUGAUUCCGCCAUGCGGAGGUUCGACCCCUCCCGCCCCAGCCA